Molecule: ribosomal RNA, 781 nt
Filed under: uncultured marine archaeon
Lineage: Archaea
Description: bacterial SSU rRNA
Rfam family: Archaeal small subunit ribosomal RNA
Source: RNAcentral
UGACUGCUAUCGGAUUGAUACUAAGCCAUGCGAGUCAUUGUAGUAAUACAAGGCAGACGGCUCAGUAACGCGUAGUCAACCUAACCUAUGGACGGGAAUAACCUCGGGAAACUGAGUAUAAUGCCCGAUAGAACAUUAUGCCUGGAAUGGUUUAUGUUCCAAAUGAUUUAUCGCCGUAGGAUGGGACUGCGGCCUAUCAGUUUGUUGGUGAGGUAAUGGCCCACCAAGACUAUUACAGGUACGGGCUCUGAGAGGAGUAGCCCGGAGAUGGGUACUGAGACACGGACCCAGGCCCUAUGGGGCGCAGCAGGCGAGAAAACUUUGCAAUGUGCGAAAGCACGACAAGGUUAAUCCGAGUGGUUUCUGCUAAAGGAACCUUUUGUCGGUCCUAGAAACACCGAUGAAUAAGGGGUGGGCAAGUUCUGGUGUCAGCCGCCGCGGUAAAACCAGCACCUCAAGUGGUCAGGAUGAUUAUUGGGCCUAAAGCAUCCGUAGCCGGCUCUGUAAGUUUUCGGUUAAAUCUGUACGCUCAACGUACAGGCUGCCGGGAAUACUGCAGAGCUAGGGAGUGGGAGAGGUAGACGGUACUCGGUAGGAAGGGGUAAAAUCCUUUGAUCUAUUGAUGACCACCUGUGGCGAANGCGGUCUACCAGAACACGUCCGACGGUGAGGGAUGAAAGCUGGGGGAGCAAACCGGAUUAAGAUACCCGGGUAGUCCCAGCUGUAAACUAUGCAAACUCAGUGAUGCAUUGGCUUGUGGCCAAUGCAGUGCUGCAGGGAA